RNAcentral lists this ribosomal RNA (459 nucleotides) under uncultured bacterium. RNAcentral describes it as "partial 16S ribosomal RNA". It matches the Rfam family "Bacterial small subunit ribosomal RNA", at positions 338 to 795 of the family's 1533-position model. The record is from RNAcentral.
CCUACGGGUGGCAGCAGUGAGGAAUAUUGGUCAAUGGGCGCGAGCCUGAACCAGCCAAGUAGCGUGAAGGAUGACGGUCCUAUGGAUUGUAAACUUCUUUUGUCGGGGAGCAAAAGACGCCAUGCGUGGUGCUCCGCAAGUACCCGAUGAAAAAGCAUCGGCUAACUCCGUGCCAGCAGCCGCGGUAAUACGGAGGAUCCGAGCGUUAUCCGGAUUUAUUGGGUUUAAAGGGUGCGCAGGCGGAAGAUCAAGUCAGCGGUAAAAUUGUGAGGCUCAACCUCUUCGUGCCGUUGAUACUGGUAUUCUUGAGUGAGUGAGAGGUAUGCGGAAUGCGUGGUGUAGCGGUGAAAUGCAUAGAUAUCACGCAGAACUCCGAUUGCGAAGGCAGCAUACCGGAGCGCAACUGACGCUCAUGCACGAAAGUGUGGGUAUCGAACAGGAUUAGAUACCCUUGUAGUC